AACGGAAAGUUGCAAUGAAGAGA
RNAcentral lists this small nuclear RNA (23 nucleotides) under Arabidopsis thaliana (thale cress). RNAcentral describes it as "snRNA_10704". The record is from RNAcentral. Lineage: Eukaryota; Viridiplantae; Streptophyta; Magnoliopsida; Brassicales; Brassicaceae.